This 505-nucleotide ribosomal RNA is filed under the name uncultured bacterium. RNAcentral describes it as "bacterial SSU rRNA". It matches the Rfam family "Bacterial small subunit ribosomal RNA", at positions 25 to 518 of the family's 1533-position model. The record is from RNAcentral.
CAGGAUGAACGCUAGCUACAGGCUUAACACAUGCAAGUCGAGGGGCAGCAUGGUCUUAGCUUGCUAAGACUGAUGGCGACCGGCGCACGGGUGAGUAACGCGUAUCCAACCUGGCCCAUAGUAGGAACAGCCCGGCGAAAGUCGGAUUAAUGCCCUAUGUUAUCCGUAGACGGCAUCAGAUGCGGAGCAAAGAUUUAUCGCUAUGGGAUGGGGAUGCGUCUGAUUAGGUAGUAGGCGGGGCAACGGCCCACCUAGCCGACGAUCAGUAGGGGUUCUGAGAGGAAGGUCCCCCACAUUGGAACUGAGACACGGUCCAAACUCCUACGGGAGGCAGCAGUGAGGAAUAUUGGUCAAUGGGCGUGAGCCUGAAACCCAGCCAAGUAGCGUGAAGGAAGACGGCCCUACGGGUUGUAAACCUCUUUUGCCGGGGAAUAAAGUGCGGGACGCGUCCCGUUUUGUAUGUACCCGGAGAAUAAGGACCGGCUAAUUCCGUGCCAGCAGCUGC